GGCGGACGGGUGAGUAACACGUAGGUAACCUACCCCUGGGCGGGGGACAACUCCGGGAAACCGGAGCUAAUACCGCAUAAGACCACAGAUUGAGAUAUCUGCGGGAAAAGUGGCAACACACCUGGGGAUGGGCCUGCGGCCUAUCAGGUAGUUGGUGAGGUAAUAGCUCACCAAGCCAAAGACGGGUAGCCGGGCUGAGAGGUUGAACGGCCACACUGGAACUGAGACACGGUCCAGACUCCUACGGGAGGCAGCAGUGGGGAAUCUUGCGCAAUGGGGGAAACCCUGACGCAGCGACGCCGCGUGGAGGAUGAAGGUCUUCGGGUUGUAAACUCCUUUUCUUGGGAAAGAUAGUGACGGUACCCAAGGAAUAAGCCACGGCUAACUCUGUGCCAGCAGCCGCGGUAAGACAGAGGUGGCGAGCGUUGCUCGGAAUUACUGGGCUUAAAGGGCGAGUAGGCGGUAGGGCAAGUCCAGGGUGGAAUCCUAUGGCUUAACCAUA
Molecule: ribosomal RNA, 502 nt
Filed under: uncultured Nitrospira sp.
Lineage: Bacteria; Pseudomonadati; Nitrospirota; Nitrospiria; Nitrospirales; Nitrospiraceae
Description: bacterial SSU rRNA
Rfam family: Bacterial small subunit ribosomal RNA
Source: RNAcentral